This 666-nucleotide long non-coding RNA is filed under the name Gossypium raimondii (Peruvian cotton). RNAcentral describes it as "long non-coding RNA (GRAI_LNC008151)". Lineage: Eukaryota; Viridiplantae; Streptophyta; Magnoliopsida; Malvales; Malvaceae. The record is from RNAcentral.
CUUCAACGACCGACUGAAGGCCAAGCUUUCAUGGUCUCGGGGUUGCGAGAGUAAGAAUCGGAUCGCCGCUUUCCUCGCCCGAUUUCGGUGACCGAAAUAGGACUCCGGCGACGAUACACACAGGGUGUUCAGGUAACGUUCCUCUUCCUUCCUUUUUUAGAUUUUAAAGAAAUGAAAUCGAAAUGAAAAUAUUCAAAAAAAAAAACCUAUGAACAAUAAAAGAAAACAGAGAAAAUAAAAGGUGAAGUCACCUUGAAUUUUUAUUUCUGCUAAUAUAUCUUUUUGUUACAAAAAUCACUAGAGGCCCUAAAAAGAGUUACAUAUUCGGCUUUUAUAGCCGAUUCUCUACUGCUUGUGUUCUUUGCUCUCUUCUUCUUUGUUUUGUUCCUUUUUUACAGGUGACGGCGCAAGUGGCCGAUGUGACAACGGUGGUGAGCAGCAUGACAGUGCUGAUGUAGGCGGCGCCGGGCUAGGGGUCAGAGGGCUGCGGCGCUAGGGUUUCUUUUCUGAAACCCUAGCUUAGCUUUGAGGGGGGUUGGGCCAGUUGGGCCUUGUUUUGGGCUCCGGGUUAGGCUAGGUCUAGGUGGGUUUGGAAUUGGGUAGUUGGGGUUUAAUUGUUUUUGUUUAGUUUAGGGUUAAUUGGGUUUUGGGCUAAAAAUUGGGCUU